CUUAGUACGGCGAGUGAGCGGCAAAAGCUCAAAUUUGAAAUCUGGUACCUUCGGUGCCCGAGUUGUAAUUUGGAGAGGGCAACUUUGGGGCCGUUCCUUGUCUAUGUUCCUUGGAACAGGACGUCAUAGAGGGUGAGAAUCCCGUGUGGCGAGGAGUGCGGUUCUUUGUAAAGUGCCUUCGAAGAGUCGAGUUGUUUGGGAAUGCAGCUCUAAGUGGGUGGUAAAUUCCAUCUAAAGCUAAAUAUUGGCGAGAGACCGAUAGCGAACAAGUACAGUGAUGGAAAGAUGAAAAGAACUUUGAAAAGAGAGUGAAAAAGUACGUGAAAUUGUUGAAAGGGAAGGGCAUUUGAUCAGACAUGGUGUUUUGUGCCCUCUGCUCCUUGUGGGUAGGGGAAUCUCGCAUUUCACUGGGCCAGCAUCAGUUUUGGUGGCAGGAUAAAUCCAUAGGAAUGUAGCUUGCCUCGGUAAGUAUUAUAGCCUGUGGGAAUACUGCCAGCUGGGACUGAGGACUGCGACGUAAGUCAAGGAUGCUGGCAUAAUGGUUAUAUGCCGCCCGUCUUGAAACACGG
RNAcentral lists this ribosomal RNA (569 nucleotides) under Saccharomyces cerevisiae (brewer's yeast). Its description in RNAcentral is "partial large subunit ribosomal RNA". It matches the Rfam family "Eukaryotic large subunit ribosomal RNA", at positions 79 to 664 of the family's 3401-position model. Lineage: Eukaryota; Fungi; Ascomycota; Saccharomycetes; Saccharomycetales; Saccharomycetaceae. The record is from RNAcentral.